Molecule: long non-coding RNA, 96 nt
Organism: Haliotis rubra (blacklip abalone)
Lineage: Eukaryota; Metazoa; Mollusca; Gastropoda; Lepetellida; Haliotidae
Exons: 3
Source: RefSeq, a predicted model, not a curated record
AAAGAGUGAUCACCUUGCAAUGGCUUCUAUCACAGAGGAGGAGUUUGGGGUGACGAAGACCGGAGAACAUGUCAGCAGAUACCCCUUGAAGAAUAA